AUUGAACGCUGGCGGCAGGCCUAACACAUGCAAGUCGAGCGGAUGAAGGGAGCUCGUUCUUGGAUUCAGCGGCGGACGGGCGAGUAAUGCCUAGGAAUCUGCACGGCAGUGGGGGAUAACGUCCGGAAACGGGCGCUAAUACCGCAUACGAUCAGAGGGAGAAAGGGGGGGAUCUUCGGACCUCACGCUAUCAGAUGAGCCUAGGUCGGAUUAGCUAGUUGGUGGGGUAAAGGCCUACCAAGGCGACGAUCCGUAGCUGGUCUGAGAGGAUGAUCAGUCACACUGGAACUGAGACACGGUCCAGACUCCUACGGGAGGCAGCAGUGGGGAAUAUUGGACAAAGGGCGAAAGCCUGAUCCAGCCAUGCCGCGUGUGUGAUGAAGGUCUUCGGAUUGUAAAGCACUUUUAGUUGGGAAGAAGAGCAGUAAGUUUAUACCUUGCUGUUUUGACGUUACCAACAGAGUAAGCCCCGGCUAACUUCGUG
Molecule: ribosomal RNA, 484 nt
Filed under: uncultured bacterium
Lineage: Bacteria
Description: partial 16S ribosomal RNA
Rfam family: Bacterial small subunit ribosomal RNA
Source: RNAcentral